RNAcentral lists this ribosomal RNA (296 nucleotides) under uncultured bacterium. RNAcentral's name for it is "partial 16S ribosomal RNA". It matches the Rfam family "Bacterial small subunit ribosomal RNA", at positions 333 to 646 of the family's 1533-position model. The record is from RNAcentral.
UUCAUCCUACGGGGGGCAGCAGUGGGGGAUAUUGCACAAUGGGGGGAACCCUGAUGCAGCGACGCCGCGUGGGUGAAGAAGCGCCUCGGCGCGUAAAGCCCUGUCAGCAGGGAAGAAAAUGACGGUACCUGAAGAAGAAGCCCCGGCUAACUACGUGCCAGCAGCCGCGGUAAUACGUAGGGGGCAAGCGUUAUCCGGAUUUACUGGGUGUAAAGGGAGCGUAGACGGCAUAGCAAGUCUGAAGUGAAAGCCCGUGGCUCAACCGCGGAACUGCUUUGGAAACUGUUAAGCUGGAG